Molecule: ribosomal RNA, 725 nt
Filed under: uncultured Bacillaceae bacterium
Lineage: Bacteria; Bacillati; Bacillota; Bacilli; Caryophanales; Bacillaceae
Description: bacterial SSU rRNA
Rfam family: Bacterial small subunit ribosomal RNA
Source: RNAcentral
AAUACAUGCAAGUCGAGCGGACAGAAGGGAGCUUGCUCCCGGACGUUAGCGGCGGACGGGUGAGUAACACGUAGGUAACCUGCCCCUUAGACUGGGAUAACUCCGGGAAACCGGAGCUAAUACGGGAUAAUAAAGAGAAUCACCUGAUUCUCUCUUGAAAGACGGUUUCGGCUGUCACUAAGGGAUGGGCCUGCGGCGCAUUAGCUAGUUGGUAAGGUAACGGCUUCCCAAGGCGACGAUGCGUAGCCGACCUGAGAGGGUGAUCGGCCACACUGGGACUGAGACACGGCCCAGACUCCUACGGGAGGCGGCAGUAGGGAAUCUUCCGCAAUGGACGAAAGUCUGACGGAGCAACGCCGCGUGAGUGAGGAAGGCCUUCGGGUCGUAAAGCUCUGUUGUGAGGGAAGAACAAGUACCGGGGUAACUACCGGUACCUUGACGGUACCUCACCAGAAAGCCACGGCUAACUACGUGCCAGCAGCCGCGGUAAUACGUAGGUGGCAAGCGUUGUCCGGAAUUAUUGGGCGUAAAGCGCGCGCAGGCGGCUUCUUAAGUCUGAUGUGAAAUCUCGGGGCUCAACCCCGAGCGGCCAUUGGAAACUGGGAAGCUUGAGUGCAGAAGAGGAGAGUGGAAUUCCACGUGUAGCGGUGAAAUGCGUAGAUAUGUGGAGGAACACCAGUGGCGAAGGCGACUCUCUGGUCUGUAACUGACGCUGAGGCGCGAAA